RNAcentral lists this ribosomal RNA (443 nucleotides) under uncultured bacterium. RNAcentral's name for it is "partial 16S ribosomal RNA". It matches the Rfam family "Bacterial small subunit ribosomal RNA", at positions 338 to 795 of the family's 1533-position model. The record is from RNAcentral.
CCUACGGGAGGCAGCAGUGGGGAAUAUUGGGCAAUGGGCGCAAGCCUGACCCAGCAACGCCGCGUGCAGGAUGAAGGCUCUCGGGUUGUAAACUUCUUUUCUGAGGGACGAAGAAAGUGACGGUACCUCAGGUAUAAGCCUCGCGUAACUACGUGCCAGCAGACGCGGUAAUACGGAGGUGGCAAGAGUUAUCCGGAUGUAUUGGGUGUAAAGGGAGUGUAGGCGGGAAAGCAAGUCAGAUGUGAAAUCUCAGGGCUCAACCGGGAGCCUGCAUUUGAAACUGUGGUUCUUGAGUGAGGGGAGGGCAGGCGGAAUGCGGUGUGUAGCGGUGAAAUGCUUAGAUAUGAGGAAGAACACCGAGGGCGAAGGCAGAUUGCUGAAGAGGAACUGACGCUGAGGCGCGAAAGCGGGGGGAUCAAACAGGAUGAGAUACCCGUGUAGUC